AAUCAACGCUGGCGGCGUGCCUCAGACAUGCAAGUCGAACGAUUAAAGCUCCCUUCGGGGAGUGCAUAAAGUGGGCGCACGGGUGAGUAACACGUAAGUAAUCUACCUUCGAGUGGGGAAUAACGUUCGGAAACGAACGCUAAUACCGCAUAAUGCAGCGGCAUCUAUGAUGACAGUUGUUAAAGAUUUAUCGCUUGAAGAGGAGCUUGCGGCAGAUUAGCAGUUGGUAAGGUAAUGGCUUACCAAGGCUACGAUCUGUAUCCGGUCUAAGAGGACGGUCGGACACACUGACACUGAAUAACGGGUUCAGACUCCUACGGGAGGCAGCAGUCGGGAAUUUUGGGCAAUGGGCGAAAGCCUGACCCAGC
This 368-nucleotide ribosomal RNA is filed under the name uncultured bacterium. RNAcentral describes it as "bacterial SSU rRNA". It matches the Rfam family "Bacterial small subunit ribosomal RNA", at positions 32 to 392 of the family's 1533-position model. The record is from RNAcentral.